UACGUAGGGGGCAAGCGUUGUCCGGAAUUAUUGGGCGUAAAGCGCGCGCAGGCGGCGAAUUAAGUUUGGUGUUUAAGCCCGGGGCUCAACCCCGGAUCGCACUGAAAACUGGUUGGCUUGAGUGCGGGAGAGGAAAGUGGAAUUCCACGUGUAGCGGUGAAAUGCGUAGAGAUGUGGAGGAACACCAGUGGCGAAGGCGACUUUCUGGACCGUAACUGACGCUGAGGCGCGAAAGCGUGGGGAGCAAACAGG
RNAcentral lists this ribosomal RNA (252 nucleotides) under uncultured bacterium. Its description in RNAcentral is "partial 16S ribosomal RNA". It matches the Rfam family "Bacterial small subunit ribosomal RNA", at positions 524 to 776 of the family's 1533-position model. The record is from RNAcentral.